This 474-nucleotide ribosomal RNA is filed under the name unidentified nematode Sourhope farm. RNAcentral describes it as "SSU rRNA". It matches the Rfam family "Eukaryotic small subunit ribosomal RNA", at positions 58 to 529 of the family's 1831-position model. The record is from RNAcentral. Lineage: Eukaryota; Metazoa; Nematoda.
UCUAAGCACAUGCCUUAAAACGGUGAAGCCGCGAAUAGCUCAUUACAACAGCCAUCGUUUAUUAGAAUAUCGUUAUCCUACUUGGAUAACUGUGGCAAUUCUAGAGCUAAUACAUGCAAUAAAGCUCCGCCCGAAAGGAACGAGCGCAUUUAUUAGAAUAAAAACCAAUCGGAUUUCGGUCCGUAAUUUGGUGAAUCUGAAUAACUUUGCCAAUCGCACAGUCCUAGUACUGGCGAUGUAUCUUUCAAGUGUCUGCCUUAUCAACUUUCGAUGGUAGGCUAUACGCCUACCAUGGUAGUAACGGGUAACGGAGAAUAAGGGUUCGACUCCGGAGAGGGAGCCUGAGAAACGGCUACCACAUCCAAGGAAGGCAGCAGGCGCGCAAAUUACCCACUUCCAGAACGGAGAGGUAGUGACGAAAAAUAACGAGACAGUCCUCUUCGAGGUCUGUCAUCGGAAUGGGUACAAUUUAAA